UAGGACGAACGCUGGCGGCGUGCCUAACACAUGCAAGUCGAGCGAGGAGAUCCCUUCGGGGAUGAACCUAGCGGCGGACGGGUGAGUAACACGUGGGCAACCUGCCUUAUAGAGGGGAAUAGCCUUCCGAAAGGAAGAUUAAUACCGCAUAACAUUACAUUUUCGCAUGAAGAAGUAAUUAAAGGAGUAAUCCGCUAUAAGAUGGGCCCGCGGCGCAUUAGCUAGUUGGUGAGGUAACGGCUCACCAAGGCGACGAUGCGUAGCCGACCUGAGAGGGUGAUCGGCCACAUUGGGACUGAGACACGGCCCAGACUCCUACGGGAGGCAGCAGUGGGGAAUAUUGCACAAUGGGGGAAACCCUGAAUGCAGCAACGCCGCGUGAGUGAUGAAGGUCUUCGGAUUGUAAAGCUCUUUGAUUGGGGACGAAGAAAGUGACGGUACCCAAAGAACAAGCCCCGGCUAACUACGUGCCAGCCGCAGC
This 481-nucleotide ribosomal RNA is filed under the name uncultured bacterium. Its description in RNAcentral is "bacterial SSU rRNA". It matches the Rfam family "Bacterial small subunit ribosomal RNA", at positions 26 to 518 of the family's 1533-position model. The record is from RNAcentral.